AGGAUCAACGCUGGCGGCGUGCCUAACACAUGCAAGUCGAACGCGAAAGCCCCGCAAGGGGUGAGUAGAGUGGCAAACGGGUGAGUAACACGUGGGUGACCUGCCUUCGAGUGGGGGAUAACGUCCCGAAAGGGACGCUAAUACCGCAUGACAUCCUGCCUUUGGAGAGGCGGAGAUCAAAGCUAGGGAUCGCAAGACCUGGCGCUUGAAGAGGGGCCCGCGCCUGAUUAGCUAGUUGGUGAGGUAACGGCUCACCAAGGCAACGAUCAGUA
RNAcentral lists this ribosomal RNA (272 nucleotides) under uncultured soil bacterium. Its description in RNAcentral is "partial 16S ribosomal RNA". It matches the Rfam family "Bacterial small subunit ribosomal RNA", at positions 26 to 285 of the family's 1533-position model. The record is from RNAcentral.